GACGAACGCUGGCGGCGUGCUUAACACAUGCAAGUCGAACGGUAAGGCCCUUCGGGGUACUCGAGUGGCGAACGGGUGAGUAACACGUGGGUGAUCUGCCCUGCACUUCGGGAUAAGCCUGGGAAACUGGGUCUAAUACCGGAUAGGACCACUGCCUGCAUGGGUGGUGGUGGAAAGCCUUUGCGGUGUGGGAUGGGCCCGCGGCCUAUCAGCUUGUUGGUGGGGUGAUGGCCUACCAAGGCGACGACGGGUAGCCGGCCUGAGAGGGUGACCGGCCACACUGGGACUGAGAUACGGCCCAGACUCCUACGGGCGGCAGCAGUGGGGAAUAUUGCACAAUGGGCGCAAGCCUGAUGCAGCGACGCCGCGUGAGGGAUGACGGCCUUCGGGUUGUAAACCUCUUUCAGCACCGACGAAGCGCAAGUGACGGUAGGUGCAGAAGAAGGACCGGCCAACUACGUGCCAGCAGCCGCGGUAA
Molecule: ribosomal RNA, 478 nt
Filed under: uncultured bacterium
Lineage: Bacteria
Description: partial 16S ribosomal RNA
Rfam family: Bacterial small subunit ribosomal RNA
Source: RNAcentral